AAUUACUUUGGGGGUUUUGGGUUUUGGUUUGGGUGUUUGGUGUUUGGUGUUUUUCCUCAGUGAUAAUUUCCUCUCAAAGUCUUCGAGGGAUGGGUUGCUCUCAAAUGACAAGUGUCAGUUUCUCUCGCGGAGCACCAACCAGUGGUUAUGGGGGGGCUAUUUAUAGCAUGGGAGCAAUCCCGACAUGAUUUGACAUAAUUGCCCCAUUGAUAUGACCGUUGUCUGGAUAAGGUUGGGGACAACUGGUGCGCGACGCGGCAAUGGUCAAAACGUUUUAAUUGUGAAAGUCCUCAUGUCUGUCAUGUUCCUCACUGUAGGUAACUCGCACUAGCGAAAACCUAACUCUUCAGUUAGAGCAAAUUUCUCACAAACCAAAAGAUCUUAGUCUCAGUUACCGAAGAAUUUGACUAAACUAUAAAAGAUUUCCAAAGGUUUGACUCGAAGGAUUUGUAUGUGUAGGCUUUGAGAUGAGAAUCACUUGCAAACUUUUCUUUAGUUUUACCUCGACUCCCUUUAAU
This 518-nucleotide long non-coding RNA is filed under the name Hordeum vulgare. RNAcentral's name for it is "long non-coding RNA (HVUL_LNC001569)". Lineage: Eukaryota; Viridiplantae; Streptophyta; Magnoliopsida; Poales; Poaceae. The record is from RNAcentral.